UACGUAGGGGGCUAGCGUUGUCCGGAUUUAUUGGGCGUAAAGAGCGUGUAGGCGGCCAUGUAGGUCCGGUGUGAAAACUCGAGGCUUAACCUCGAGAUGUCAUCGGAAACCAGUUGGCUAGAGUCCGGAAGAGGAGAGUGGAAUUCCUGGUGUAGCGGUGAAAUGCGCAGAUAUCAGGAAGAACACCCGUGGCGAAGGCGGCUCUCUGGAACGCAACUGACGCUGAGACGCGAAAGCGUGGGGAGCAAACAGG
This 253-nucleotide ribosomal RNA is filed under the name uncultured bacterium. RNAcentral's name for it is "partial 16S ribosomal RNA". It matches the Rfam family "Bacterial small subunit ribosomal RNA", at positions 524 to 776 of the family's 1533-position model. The record is from RNAcentral.